RNAcentral lists this ribosomal RNA (484 nucleotides) under uncultured bacterium. RNAcentral describes it as "partial 16S ribosomal RNA". It matches the Rfam family "Bacterial small subunit ribosomal RNA", at positions 30 to 507 of the family's 1533-position model. The record is from RNAcentral.
AUUGAACGCUGGCGGCAGGCCUAACACAUGCGAGUCGAGCGGAUGAAGGGAGCUUGCUCCUGGAUUCAGCGGCGGACGGGUGAGUAAUGCCUAGGAAUCUGCCUGGUAGUGGGGGAUAACGUCCGGAAACGGGCGCUAAUACCGCAUACGUCCUGAGGGAGAAAGUGGGGGAUCUUCGGACCUCACGCUAUCAGAUGAGCCUAGGUCGGAUUAGCUAGUUGGUGGGGUAAAGGCCUACCAAGGCGACGAUCCGUAACUGGUCUGAGAGGAUGAUCAGUCACACUGGAACUGAGACAAGGUCCAGACUCCUACGGGAGGCAGCAGUGGGGAAUAUUGGACAAUGGGCGAAAGCCUGAUCCAGCCAUGCCGCGUGUGUGAAGAAGGUCUUCGGAUUGUAAAGCACUUUAAGUUGGGAGGAAGGGCAGUAAGUUAAUACCUUGCUGUUUUGACGUUACCAACAGAAUAAGCACCGGCUAACUUCGUG